CUACGGGAGGCAGCAGUGGGGAAUUUUGGACAAUGGGGGCAACCCUGAUCCAGCAAUGCCGCGUGAGUGAAGAAGGCCUUCGGGUUGUAAAGCUCUUUUGUCAGGGAAGAAAAGGGACUGGCUAAUAUCUGGUCCUCAUAACGGUACCUGAAGAAUAAGCACCGGCUAACUACGUGCCAGCAGCGGCGGUAAUACGUAGGGUGCAACCGUUAAU
Molecule: ribosomal RNA, 214 nt
Filed under: uncultured bacterium
Lineage: Bacteria
Description: partial 16S ribosomal RNA
Rfam family: Bacterial small subunit ribosomal RNA
Source: RNAcentral